UGGGGAAUAUUGGACAAUGGGCGCAAGCCUGAUCCAGCCAUGCCGCGUGAGUGACGAAGGUCUUCGGAUUGUAAAACUCUUUUGGCGGGGACGAUAAUGACGGUACCCGCAGAAUAAGCCCCGGCUAACUUCGUGCCAGCAGCCGCGGUAAUACGUAGGGACCAAGCGUUGUUCGGAUUUACUGGGCGUAAAGGGCGCGUAGGCGGCAUGACAAGUCACUUGUGAAAUCUCUGGGCUUAACCCAGAACGGCCAAGUGAUACUGUCGCGCUAGAGUGCAGAAGGGGCAAUCGGAAUUCUUGGUGUAGCGGUGAAAUGCGUAGAUAUCAAGAGGAACACCUGAGGUGAAGACGGGUUGCUGGGCUGACACUGACGCUGAGGCGCGAAAGCCAGGGGAGCAAACGGGAUUAGAUACCCCGGUAGUCCCUGAGCGGGCUGGCAAGGCGCAU
This 447-nucleotide ribosomal RNA is filed under the name uncultured bacterium. RNAcentral's name for it is "bacterial SSU rRNA". It matches the Rfam family "Bacterial small subunit ribosomal RNA", at positions 355 to 825 of the family's 1533-position model. The record is from RNAcentral.